AGAGACUCGGAGUGGGGCAUGGGGGGGAAUAGAAGCAGGCAGAGUCUAAACUAGUGAAGAGGUAGCAUGCCCAGAAUUUGGUGAUUAAUUAGGUGAAAGGAUAAAAGAGAAUAAAAGUCAAGUGAAGAGUGAUCAGGUUUCCAGCUUGGACAACUGGAGAGAAGCCAAAGCAAUGGGCAGCUUCCCUCUCCGCUCUUCAUGUACCUACUAUGCUUCAAGAGGUGUCAACCCUUCACCUAUGGUGAUCUACAGUCUGACACACCCACUUGCCUGUGGCUGGAAGGCUGUGAUGUUGGGUGAGGGUGAAGGAGAAGUAGACAGGCAUCCUCUCUAGAGAUGAACGAGGAAAUGGAGGGAAUGGCUGCUGGAGACAAGAGAGCAGAUUGGAAGCCUAGAGCCUGGGAGCACAGCCCUGUGGAAGGCCAACGAUGCUCAGUGAAGAGUGACAACAGGCAGGUGGCAGAGGGAAUCGAGCCGUACGCAUGUCUCUGCCAGCUCCUGGGUUGGCAUGCCAUUGCAGACUGGCAAAGUGGAGCUGUGAAGACGUACCUGGCACAUGGCUAUGCUCAGAAAAUGUCAGGU
Non-coding RNA from Heterocephalus glaber (naked mole-rat), 582 nucleotides. NCBI's taxonomy places the organism in Eukaryota, Metazoa, Chordata, Mammalia, Rodentia, Bathyergidae. The record is from RefSeq and is a predicted model, not a curated record.